ACACGACUACAUUAGAUACCCGGGUAGUCCUAGCCGUAAACGAUACUCGCUAGGUGUCGGCCACGGUGCGACCGUUGUCGGUGCCGUAGGGAAGCCGUGAAGCGAGCCACCUGGGAAGUACGGCCGCAAGGCUGAAACUUAAAGGAAUUGGCGGGGGAGCACCGCAACGGGAGGAGCGUGCGGUUCAAUUGGAUUCAACACCGGACAACUCACCAGGAGCGACGGUUACAUGAAGGCCAGGCUGAUGACCUUGCCUGAUUUUCCG
This 265-nucleotide ribosomal RNA is filed under the name uncultured archaeon. Its description in RNAcentral is "partial 16S ribosomal RNA". It matches the Rfam family "Archaeal small subunit ribosomal RNA", at positions 717 to 982 of the family's 1478-position model. The record is from RNAcentral.